GGAAGGUUUAUGAUAGCUCUGAAUUUAAAUUUUCCAAUUGUAGUUUUAUUAUAAUUAGUUAAUGUGUAGAGUUUAUCUCACUUUAAAAGUGAUGGGAAUGGGUAUUGUAUGUGGGUAUGUGUUUAAGCUGAUUUGAUCUGAUUGACGUUUUGGCUAAGUCUCUUCCGGUUAACUUGUAGUAUUCUUCUUAAUGCUGCUUCUUUUUUUAUUGUUUGCAUAUUAGAUAAACCAUGGCCAUGUAUAUUCAGGACAUUUCUCCUUUUCUUUGUUAAUAGGAUAGGCUUAUAAGUUCUAAAAAAAUUUAUUAUGAUUUUUAAAUUUUUGUGCGAAUCUCUUCUCUCA
This 342-nucleotide unclassified non-coding RNA is filed under the name Hevea brasiliensis (rubber tree). The record is from RNAcentral. Lineage: Eukaryota; Viridiplantae; Streptophyta; Magnoliopsida; Malpighiales; Euphorbiaceae.